RNAcentral lists this ribosomal RNA (491 nucleotides) under uncultured Saccharibacillus sp. RNAcentral describes it as "bacterial SSU rRNA". It matches the Rfam family "Bacterial small subunit ribosomal RNA", at positions 37 to 507 of the family's 1533-position model. The record is from RNAcentral. Lineage: Bacteria; Bacillati; Bacillota; Bacilli; Caryophanales; Paenibacillaceae.
UGGCGGCAUGCCUAAUACAUGCAAGUCGAGCGGAUUGGAAGAGAAGCUUGCUUCUCUGACAGUUAGCGGCGGACGGGUGAGUAACACGUAGGCAACCUGCCUUUCAGUCUGGGAUAACUUCCGGAAACGGAUGCUAAUACCGGAUACAUCAUUUCUCCGCAUGGAGAGAUGAGGAAAGACGGCGCAAGCUGUCACUGAGAGAUGGGCCUGCGGCGCAUUAGCUAGUUGGUGGGGUAACGGCUCACCAAGGCGACGAUGCGUAGCCGACCUGAGAGGGUGAACGGCCACACUGGGACUGAGACACGGCCCAGACUCCUACGGGAGGCAGCAGUAGGGAAUCUUCCACAAUGGGCGAAAGCCUGAUGGAGCAAUGCCGCGUGAGUGAUGAAGGUUUUCGGAUCGUAAAGCUCUGUUGCCAGGGAAGAACGUCCGGGUGAGUAACUGCACCCGGAGUGACGGUACCUGAGAAGAAAGCCCCGGCUAACUACGUA